AUCUCUCCUUGUCGAUCUUGUCGAUUUUCUGGGAGGACUUUUCAAAAGAGUAAAAUGACUCCGAGCUAUAUAAAGAAACGUGAGGGGGGUGGCGUGCACGCGAAGCGCAACGUAACACACGUUGCUACGAUGUCGUCGGAGUAAUUUGGGUGCACGCUGCGACGAGAGAUCACCUGUCACAAGUUCUUUCUGGCAACAUAAACGGCGUCGUUUAAUAUUUUGUAUACGCCGAGUUAGGCGGUGGCGACGGGGGGCUCCUUUCCAUUUCGGCGCCCCCCUUUUACGUGAAAUCCCAUCGCGAAACCGCAAAGUUUGGUUGUUAUAAACGUUAAAUGCAACCCUUUAUAGUUCGAAAGAGUAUUAAACGUUUUGAAUUGAAAACCGGAUUGGAUUUGGUAUCAUUGCAGAACUAUGAAGUCAUUCAAUACAAACAAAGAUGCUCGUUCGAGAGGUAAAUCGCGUAAAUCUUCUUAAAUCACCUAUAAAUCGAUUUAAUCGGGCUUUAUUUUAUAUUCCCACAUCUCCAGUUUUAGUUGGUAUCAUUGCAUAACGAAGUUCUUCAAUACAAACAAAGACGAUCUUUCAAGAAGUGAAUAAAAUUAAGCGUAAUUCUUCUUAAAUCCCCUAUAAAUCGAUAUCCUUUAUUAAUCGGGGUUAAUUUUAUAUUCCCACAUCUCCAGUUUUAGGUGGUAUCAUUGCAUAACUUAACCUGAACUUAACGCUCUUCAAUACAAACAAAGACGAUGUUUCAAAAAGUGAAUAAAAUUAAACGUAAUUCUUCUUAAAUCACCUAUAAAUCGAUAUCCUUUAUUAAUCGGGCUUUAUUUUAUAUUCCCAUAUCUCCAGUUUUAGUUGGUAUCAUUGCAUAACAAAGUUCUUCAAUACAAACAAACACGAUCUUUCAAGAAGUGAAUAAAAUUAAGUGUAAAUCUUCUUAAAUCACUCAUAAAUCCCAUCUCCAGUUUUAGUUGGUAUCAUUGCAUAAUUUGACGUUCUUCAAUACAAACAAAGACGAUCUUUCAAGAGGCUAAUAAAAUUAAUCAAAAAUCUUCUUAAAUCACCUAUAAAUCGAUAUCCUUUAUUAAAUCCAGGUUAAAUUUAUAUUCCCUCAUCCCCAGGUACUUACUAUUGAUUGUUGAAGAUGUUUGAAAAUCCGUAUCUGCGAAAUUAACAAGGUCAUAACAUUGAUAUCGGGGGCAGUUUCAUCCCCCUUUCGACCUUUUCGGGGGUUAAGUGGCGCUCCCAUUUACGACUAUUAAUUAUGCAGGACCCCUGUAUUACUUACCUUCUUGGUGCCAGGACUCCCUCCAGUCCGCCGGGAAUCCUGCUGCAAUGAAAUAACAACAGGCAAUGAGUCUAAAAUCGUUCUAAAUUCAAGAUUCAACUAAAGAUGGGGCACAACUUGAAGACAUCAGAAAAUGAUUUAUG
RNAcentral lists this long non-coding RNA (1428 nucleotides) under Onthophagus taurus. RNAcentral describes it as "uncharacterized LOC111416945, transcript variant X2". Lineage: Eukaryota; Metazoa; Arthropoda; Insecta; Coleoptera; Scarabaeidae. The record is from RNAcentral.